Molecule: long non-coding RNA, 325 nt
Organism: Populus trichocarpa (black cottonwood)
Lineage: Eukaryota; Viridiplantae; Streptophyta; Magnoliopsida; Malpighiales; Salicaceae
Exons: 3
Source: RefSeq, a predicted model, not a curated record
CUCUUCUUUCAUGCUACUUUUCAAACUUUCUACAGGACUGGCCCUACGUACUCAUAGACAAUUACUUUUAAUUGCUUGAGUUUGAUCCUUUGUUGUGUUCGUUCCAUUAAUUCUACUUCUUUGCAAGUCUUUUCCCUUGUUGGAAGCGAGCUGUUAUCAUCCAUGAAGGCGUCUAAGUGAUUAUCCUCAACCUUUCAUUCGUUUCUUUCUUUGCUAGCUGGAUUCCAUACAGAGCUAAAGGCCUUCUCCAUUUCAUUGAGCAAUCAGUACCAGUUCUGUAUCCUUCUCACAUAUUUUCUCAAGUUUAGCGAGCUGGUAUCAUCCA